This 431-nucleotide ribosomal RNA is filed under the name uncultured bacterium. Its description in RNAcentral is "partial 16S ribosomal RNA". It matches the Rfam family "Bacterial small subunit ribosomal RNA", at positions 29 to 507 of the family's 1533-position model. The record is from RNAcentral.
AACGAACGCUGGCGGCAGGCUUAACACAUGCAAGUCGAACGCCCCGCCAGGGGAGUGGCAGACGGGUGAGUAACGCGUGGGAACAUACCAUUUUCUACGGAAUAGCCCGGGGAAACUGGAAUUAAUACCGUAUACGCCCUACGGGGGAAAGAUUUAUCGGGGAAGGAUUGGCCCGCGUUGGAUUAGCUAGUUGGUGGGGUAAAGGCCUACCAAGGCGACGAUCCAUAGCUGGUCUGAGAGGAUGAUCAGCCACAUUGGGACUGAGACACGGCCCAAACUCCUACGGGAGGCAGCAGUGGGGAAUAUUGGACAAUGGGCGCAAGCCUGAUCCAGCCAUGCCGCGUGAGUGAUGAAGGCCUUAGGGUUGUAAAGCUCUUUCACCGAUGAAGAUAAUGACGGUAGUCGGAGAAGAAGCCCCGGCUAACUUCGUG